GCUACCGCCGUGCGCUGGGCGGCGGUGAUCCGGGGUGUGGGAUCGUUUGCCGGAGUUAUUGGGUUUAAAGGGUCCGUAGGCGUACCGGUAAGUCAGUGGUGAAAGCCUACAGCUUAACUGUAGAACUGCCGUUGAUACUGUCGGUCUUGAGUGUGGUUGAGGUAGCUGGAAUGAGUAGUGUAGCGGUGAAAUGCAUAGAUAUUACUCAGAACACCAAUUGCGAAGGCAGGUUACCAAGUCACAACUGACGCUGAUGGACGAAAGCGUGGGGAGCGAACAGGAUUAGAUACCCCUGUAGUC
Molecule: ribosomal RNA, 300 nt
Filed under: uncultured bacterium
Lineage: Bacteria
Description: bacterial SSU rRNA
Rfam family: Bacterial small subunit ribosomal RNA
Source: RNAcentral